UUUCGUCGGUCGGUGGCCGGUGAUACCUAACCUGUGCUGGUGAAAGCAUAUCGCCCAGUGUUUCAUCCGCCUAUUAGUUCAUCACGAAGAUGAUGCAGGCCCCAUGUGGAGCAAUGAUUUAGGGCUCCAACUGCGGAGUUGCAGCGUCAAGCGUCAGCUUUUGACGGAGGCGGCACCUUCUGCCAUCCUAUGACGAUGACUAUCAAGGUGACGCUUUGCAUAGUGUAAGGACUAACUUAGAUAAUCCAAGCAGUGUACUCUAGAGAUGCACAAUAUAUCCGGUUUCAGACCUGACCCGACCAGGAACCGGUUCCUACGCUACCUGACCCGUGGGUACAUACCGGUUCCAGACCCAGGGCGUAGAAAUAGGAACUGAAUCGGACCCGGUCGGGAACCACCUAUACCCGGUUAAAAUCCAGGCCCGACUCGGUCAAACCGGUCAAAACCAAGUCAAAUACCCGAACGCACCCCGGAACCGUUUCCUACCCUACCCGGUUCUUGAUUUUUAAACCAAACCCGGACCCAGUUCCCGGGUAUUAAAAAAACCCGUUUUGUGCAUCUAAUUGUGUGUACUCCAGGGUAUUAAAAAAACUCUGUUCUCCAAAGCUGCAAUCCAAUCGAGUGUAUUGCGUAACCUUAGUUGGAAUACAAUGCCCUGGUCUACAAAUCACAGAUGCUUGCAAUGACAUGACAUGGUUCCAACACCAGUACACGCAAUCAAGGGAAGAAGAGUGAAAUUACAAAGCCAAACACUAAAAGAUGCACGCUCAGGAGCACAACGAUGCACUGUAAAAUAGCGUCACUGAAGCAGACCCAGAGGCAGGCUCAACGAUAGCAAUUGUCACAACCUUAGCAGCCCCAGCAACACCAAUGGGAGCAAAACAUAUUGUCGCAGCAGCAAAGAGUAUCAUAUUUCCAACGCCAGUCUGAAGGCGGGGAAACCGCAUGUGGUAGUGGUUUGUGCAUCCAAUGGGCAGUGAUUGAGUCCGAUGGUGUUACAGCCAACAAGUCGACGUCAACAGUGCUCAACGACGAAGACGUCGGUCAAGCGGCUAGGGCUCCAAUCAAGUUCCGACAAGUUUCCGGUGUAGCUGCAUACUUGGAUGUUAGCAAAGGGCUAUCACAGGUGGUAGCAAAUAGUAAGGAUGCAAAUAAACCAAGAGCUUGAUGAUACUUAAAGAUGAUGGUUUUUUGUUUGUCAAUUUUGAUACAAUAUAUUAAAAUUUUACAAUUAUUGAAAUAUCUACUUUUUUAGGUGAGAGCCCUUUUAUUCGUGUUGCAAUGCAAGGGCAUUUCUCCACUACUAAAUGCCUCACCGAACGUGUAUUGAAACUGAUGAUGGCACUACUCUUUUGUUGUUAGUUGUAGUUGCAGGCUCGCUCCAAUGCUUGGAGCUGUUACCAAUUCAUCUACUAUUAGAAAGGGUUCUUUGCUAACAAGAAUAUUAUUUAUUACUUAUGAGGACAACACUGUACCUUGAUGGCAAUUAAUCAAUGAAGAACAUGAAUACAACGCGAUUUGUGAAAUUGUCAAUGCAAUCAUGUUAUUUGCAGCCUCAUUCAUUCGGAUUAUUCCCCGAUUGUUAUGAAGUAAUUAAAUUUUAUGAAAAUUUGGUGCAUUGAGUAGCAAUAAGUUUUAUUGUCAUGAUUAAACGUGUCGAAACCUGACAGUAAGCUUUAGGCCGGUCAAUUGUUUGUGUUUUUAGCUCCUGCUUUUUAUUGUUAAUUC
RNAcentral lists this long non-coding RNA (1728 nucleotides) under Helianthus annuus (common sunflower). RNAcentral's name for it is "hypothetical non coding rna". The record is from RNAcentral. Lineage: Eukaryota; Viridiplantae; Streptophyta; Magnoliopsida; Asterales; Asteraceae.